UCAGGCUGAAAAUGGUCUCGGGUGUAAAUGUGGUCUGAGGUCAGAUAACUGAGCCUAAAGUAUUCUGGUGCAUUAAGCUUAUUGCCUGCUGGACCUGAUAGCAGAGCGAUAAAACCCAUGUCCCAACAUUC
This is a small nucleolar RNA of Nothobranchius furzeri (turquoise killifish), 131 nucleotides long. Lineage: Eukaryota; Metazoa; Chordata; Actinopteri; Cyprinodontiformes; Nothobranchiidae. The record is from Ensembl.